GGGUCGAUAAUGAGAACCUUUUAUUAUCCUGAAGAGAGGUUAUGACUUAAAAUUCAUGCUCAAUAGGAUUACGCUGAGGCUC
Small nucleolar RNA from Macaca mulatta (Rhesus monkey), 82 nucleotides. Its record names the gene SNORD115. It matches the Rfam family "Small nucleolar RNA SNORD115". Rfam says of the family: HBII-52 is a member of the C/D class of snoRNAs, which contain the C (UGAUGA) and D (CUGA) box motifs. HBII-52 is encoded in a tandemly repeated array with another C/D snoRNA, HBII-85, in the Prader-Willi syndrome (PWS) region of chromosome 15. HBII-52 is exclusively expressed in the brain but is absent in PWS patients. NCBI's taxonomy places the organism in Eukaryota, Metazoa, Chordata, Mammalia, Primates, Cercopithecidae. The record is from Ensembl.